Molecule: ribosomal RNA, 305 nt
Filed under: uncultured bacterium
Lineage: Bacteria
Description: bacterial SSU rRNA
Rfam family: Bacterial small subunit ribosomal RNA
Source: RNAcentral
CUCCUACGGGGGGCAGCAGUGGGGAAUAUUGCGCAAUGGGGGAAACCCUGACGCAGCAACGCCGCGUGCGGGAUGAAGGCUUUCGGGUUGUAAACCGCUUUCAGCAGGGAUGACUUCGACAGUACCUGCAGAAGAAGCCCCGGCUAACUACGUGCCAGCAGCCGCGGUAAUACGUAGGGGGCGAGCGUUAUCCGGAUUCAUUGGGCGUAAAGCGCGCGCAGGCGGACUCAUAAGCGGAGCCUUUAAUCUUGGGGCUUAACCUCAAGUCGGGCCCCGAACUGUGAGUCUCGAGUGUGGUAGGGGAA